AUAAUACUUUUGCUUGCACUUCACAACAAACAUAUUUAACUCUGACUUUUGUAAUAAUCUCAAGGACAACCUUUCACAGAACUCUGCUGUUGUGCUCAUUAACUACUCAUUUACAGUUGCUUAAAUGUCUGUCUUUCUUUGUUACCGUUUUGCAGUCUGGGGUUCUUUUAAAUCAUAUUUGUGUGUUAAUGGACACUGGUGAGCAGAAGGCCUGCUGUCUUAAAUCUGACGGAGAAAGAGAGAGUUGUCUCAAUGAUUUAGCAUACAUGGAAUCCAAGUCUUUAUCUGCUGUGUCUCUGGAACCAAAUGUAAUAUGUCGGCUUUGCAGAGAAUCAAAAUUAUUGAUUUGGUAAGAUUUUUAUUGACCUUUAUUUAUAUAAUUGUUUAUACUCCCUAUAGUAUUAAGCUCUGAUGUUUUAUUAUUUUUCUCUAUGCAUAUUGGCAGCAUAAAAAGAGGCAUCAGUCAUCUACUCAUAUCUCUUGCUGCUAUAAUACCUCCAUACAGUUACAAAACAAAUCUUGUGAAUACUUUACCAGCAUUUUUGAAUUGAUUGCAAAUAAAACAUGGUCUUAUCUUUAUCCAAGUCAUAAUUAUAGACAAGCACAGUCUGACUAAACUAAUAACACACAAAAAACUGUACUUUUCAUUUUUUUAAUGAACACAUUGAUACAUCAUUCAUAGUACUGACAUGACUUCAACUCACAUAAACAUUAAAAGUCAUAACCAUACUCUGCUCAUUGGAUUCUCUCCACUUCUCCUGACAGAAUCCAGGAGGUACAGUGCCUUGCAAAAGUAUUCACCUCCCCUUGACUUUUUACCUAUUUUGUUACAUUACAGCCUUAAAUUCAAUGUUUUAUUAAUCUGAAUUUUAUGUGAUGGAUCAGAACACAAUAGUCUAAGUUGGUGAAGUGAAAUGAGAAAAAUAUAUACAUAAAACUAUUUUUUAGAAAUAGAAAACAGAAAAUUGGCAUGUGCGUAUGUAUUCACCCCCUUUGUUAUAAAGCCUGUGACGAAACGCCUUUUGUCACCAGAUUUUCCCCUGGCUGUUGGAGGAGCCUGAUUGCCAGCCUCUUGCCUCAUGACUAUGGCCCUGGGUUAUUUGGCCCUUCAAGUACAAUAUUUGGGCCUAUUGGAUUUGUAUGGUGCAGCUGCUGGCCCUUUAAAAACCAUCCCUGGACAUAUUAUGACUUUUAGACACAAUGUCCCUUUAAGACUGUGUAGCAGAUUGCAUUCAGGCAGUCUGCAAUAUUAUAUAUGCUAUUAUGUGUUCGGUAAAUUGGAAAUGUGUAGGUUCUAUGUGAUAAAUGUAACAGUAUGUAUUUUUAUGUCUUUUGUUGCCCUUUGUCUGCCAUGUGGCUAAUGGAGUUUUGCCUCUGUCCUUGGAGAUAAUUGCAUUACUUCUCAAUUAUCUCCAGAAUAGAAGACUCUGAAACCAGUUUGGGCCAGAUAUCCAUGCUGCCAGCCAGGCCCCAAAAGAUACUUGUGCUAACUUCUGAACCCCUGGUCUGAUUGAGGCCAUUUUUUAAUAUGUUGUUCCCCUGAAUGGAUUGAUUGUGAAUAUGUAGUUUUAUGUGAAUGUGAUGUAUAGUUUUAGAGUUAUGAAAGUUGGGUAAAAAGUGUGUUUUAAAAUGUAUGGAUAAUUGGGUUACCUCUCAGGCUAAGGGGAGGAGAUGUGUGGGAUGUAACCAUUGUGUGAUUGGUUGUACUGUGUCCCACCCAGUGGGAUGUCCCCUUGCAUGGGGACCUGCAUAAAAGAAGGUUCUUUGUGUGCCAAUAAACAGAUCAUCUUGUACCUUCAUGAAGUUUCGGCUCAUGUUUGGGGGAUUGGAGAAACCACACUCUGGGGAUUGCUAUAAUCACUAUACUCCCCAGGGUAUAAUCACUAAGCUCUGCUAAGAGCUUGUUCCUGUUCCUGCUCUCUGGAAUUCGGAGAGAGGUCGACCUGCUGGAAGCUGGACCCUGGUCCUGGGUCCAGAGUGGGUGGAGACGGCGAGACCCCAACCAAGCUGCGGCGGUUCGUGGGGUCUGCGGUGGUUAUGGUGUCAGGCAGAGUGCUUGGAGUCCUCGGAAAGCACUAGGAGCAUCCGUCGGCGGAAGGUACCCGGUCGGGGUGCCAGCGGUUCCGUUACAUUGGUGGCAGCGGUGGGAUGGCGUCCUAGUGCGAGGUAAAGCAGCUCAGAGACACAGUUCGUUUGGAGUUACAAUUUGAGGGCAACGCUAGUAUUCGUACAGCGCCCCUGGUCACAGCAAACAUGACCUAUCGCUUUGAGGGCGACGCAUACCGGGACGAGGUCAUGAGACGGUUAACCAGAUAUGGCCCGAAUCCUUCAACAGAGGCAGUUCUGGCAAUCGUGCGCAAGUUGGAUGAGGAGAAUCGAGCGGCAUGGGAAUUUGAGCUCCGAUUUCGGAGAUUGGGGCUGUGGCCAAUUGGUCUCUCUCCCCAGUGGCAGACAGCAUCCCAGGGAGAGGAGAUUGUUGGUCCCUUGUCCCUGCAACAAAUAUCAUCACUGGGAGUCGAGACAGUCGGUCUGACUCCCCAGCGGCAGUGUGUUGUCAAGGGAGAAGAGACAACCGGUCUUUCUCCCCAGCGGCAGACCGCAUCCCAGGGAGAGGAGAUUGUCGGUCCCUUGUCCCUGCAACAACCAUCAUCACUGGGAGUCAACACAGUCGGUCUGACUCCCCAGCGGCAGUGUGUUGACAAGGGAGAAGAGACAACCGGUCUCUCUCCCCAGCGGCAGUGUGUACCCCAGGGAGCUGAAGGUGUCGUCCUUCCUCCCCAGCGGCAGUAUGUAUCCGAGGGAGCUGAAGGUACCGUCCUUCCUCCCCAGCGGCAGUGUGUACCCCAGGGAGCAGAAGGUGUCGUCCUUCCUCCCCAGCGGCAGUAUGUAUCCCAGGGAGCUGAAGGUGCCGUCCUUCCUCCCCAGCGGCAGUAUGUAUCCCAGGGAGCUGAAGGUGCCAUCCUUCCUCCCCAGCGGCAGUGUGUACCCCAGGGAGCAGAAGGUGCCAUCCUUCCUCCCCAGCGGCAGUGUGUACCCCAGGGAGCAGAAGGUGCCGUCCUUCCUCCCCAACGGCAGUAUGUAUCCCAGGGAGCUGAAGGUGCCAUCCUUCCUCCCCAGCAGCAGUGUGUAUCCCAGGGAGCUGAAGGUGCCGUCCUUCCUCCCCAGCGGCAGUGUGUACCCCAGGGAGCAGAAGGUGCCGUCCUUCCUCCCCAGCAGCAGUGUGUAUCCCAGGGAGCUGAAGGUGCUGUCCUUCCUUCCCAGUGGCAAUUUACCCCACAAAGAGGAGACACUAGUCUCCCAGAAGGUGCAGAGGAGACCGUGGUCUCUGCACCCGACUUACAGGGAUGUUGGACAGCCUGUCCAGAUCCCCAACUACCCUUGCAGGGACACCAGGAGGAGGGGGUAAGUACUAUUUCCCUUCCCCAGCCAAGGCCUAAGCCAGCUGCCCCAGCCGAAGCGCUGGCAUCGGGGCAGAGCGCAGUUGGCCUCUGCCCCCCAAGCACCCAAAGCGUGUUACCCAGUGACCUCAGAGGAAUACCCAGGUGCAGUAAAUGUGUGUUGUGGGUGGGCUACUCAUGUACUUGUUCACUGUGGGUGGGUUUAUCGACUAACUCAGGCACUGACCGACAGGUCAGGUACCUGGUUAGUCUCCCCCCAAAGGGGAGAUGUGUGACGAAACGCCUUUUGUCACCGGAUUUUCCCCUGGCUGUUGGAGGAGCCUGAUUGCCAGCCUCUUGCCUCAUGACUAUGGCCCUGGGUUAUUUGGCCCUUCAAGUACAAUAUUUGGGCAUAUUGGAUUUAUAUGGUGCUGCUGCUGGCCCUUUAAAAACCAUCCCUGGACAUAUUAUGACUUUUAGGAACAAUGUCCCUUUAAGACUGUGUAGCAGAUUGCAUUCAGGCGGUCUGCAAUAUUAUAUAUGCUAUUAUGUGUUCGGUAAAUUGGAAAUGUGUAGGUUCUAUGUGAUAAAUGUAACAGUAUGUAUUUUUAUGUCUUUUGUUGUCCUUUGUCUGCCAUGUGGCUAAUGGAGUUUUGCCUCUGUCCUUGGGAGAUAAUUGCAUUACUUCUCAAUUAUCUCCAGAAUAGAAGACUCUGAAACCAGUUUGGGCCAGAUAUCCAUGCUGCCAGCCAGGCCCCAAAAGAUACUUGUGCUAACUUCUGAACCCCUGGUCUGAUUGAGGCCAUUUUUUAAUAUGUUGUUCCCCUGAAUGGAUUGAUUGUGAAUAUGUAGUUUUAUGUGAAUGUGAUGUAUAGUUUUAGAGUUAUGAAUGUUGGGUAAAAAGUGUGUUUUAAAAUGUAUGGAUAAUUGGGUUACCUCUCAGGCUAAGGGAAGGAGAUGUGUGGGAUGUAACCAUUGUGUGAUUGGUUGUACUGUGUCCCACCCAGUGGGAUUUCCCCUUGCAUGGGGACCUGCAUAAAAGAAGGUUCUUUGUGUGCCAAUAAACAGAUCAUCUUGUACCUUCAUGAAGUUUCGGCUCAUGUUUGGGGGAUUGGAGAAACUACACUCUGGGGAUUGCUAUAAUCACUAUACUCCCCAGGGUAUAAACACUAAGCUCUGCUAAGAGCUUGUUCCUGUUCCUGCUCUCUGGAAUUGGGAGAGAGGUCGACCUGUUGGAAGCUGGACCCUGGUCCUGGGUCCAGAGUGGGUGGAGACGGCGAGACCCCAACCAAGCUGCGGCGGUUCGUGGGGUCUGCAGUGGUUAUGGUGUCAGGCAGAGUGCUUGGAGUCCUCAGAAAGCACUAGGAGCAUCCGUCGGCGGAAGGUACCCGGUCGGGGUGCCAGCAGUUCCGUUACAAAGCCCAUAAAAAGUUCUGGUGCAACCAAUUACCUUCAGAAGUCACAUAAUUGGUGAAAUGAUGUCCACCUGUGUGCAAUCUAAGUGUCACAUGAUCUGUCAUUACAUAUACACACCUUUUUUGAAAGGUUCCAGAGGCUGCAACACCUAAGCAAGAGGCACCACUAACCAAACACUGCCAUGAAGACCAAGGAACUCUCCAAACAAGUAAGGUACAAUGUUACGAGUCAGGGUUAGGUUAUAAAAAAAUAUCCAAAUCUUUGAUGAUUCCAUAGCUCAGUGCGCUGGCAAUUUCUAAACCUGUCACAACCCUAAUUAAUCCUUGGUCUCUGGGUACAUACCCAAACUUUGGAAGACUGCAAGAGUAGUGCCUAUCCAUAAAAGUGGUGACACUACUUUGGUUUCUAACUAUUGCCCAAUAUCAUUGCUCCCAGUAUUGUCAAAAAUCUAGAGACAAAUGUGUCCAUACGCAACUAUGUGAGUAUUACAAACAAUCAAACUAUCUGACCCCUGAUCAAUCAGGCUUUCGCCCGAAUCAGUCAACUAGAACUGCCUUCUUAAAAGUUUGCAAUGACAUCCAAACUGGCAUGGAACAAAGAGACCUAACUGGAGCUAAUUUCCUUGAUUUCGCAAAGGCCUUUGACACAGUAGACCAUGACAUUCUACUGCACAAACUAAAAAAAAUUCAGGUAUUGGUGAUCGUCCACUAACCUGGUUUUGAUCAUAUGUAUCGGAUCGAUCGCAAUAUGUGGCCAUUUCUGGCAGUGACUCCCUUCGUCUCCCAGUCAUGUGUGGUGUUCCCCAAGGUUCCAUUCUCAACCCCCUACUAUUCACAUUAUUUAUAAAUGAUCUGCCUAAUAUCUGCAAAUCCUCAAAUGUACACAUGUACGGAGAUGACACAGUAAUCUAAGCAAUCUACCGCAGUUUGAGGCUGUGCUCCAAGACCAAGACAGAGGUAGAAAAGCGGAUCACAAAAUAUAAACUCUUCCUAAACACUGACAAAACUGUCACAAUGAUCUUUGGAACAGUACCUAAAUUACGCAAAUUACAAAAUUCCCAUCUGUGCAUCAAAGCAAAAUCAAAUAGUACACUGACCGCAUUCCACUUUUUCAAAUACUUGGGUAUGUUGUUAGACCCCAAUCUAUCAUUUGGCCUCCACAUCGAAAAACUUGCAUCAAAACUUUACCUCUACUAGGUGCCCUGUAGAGAAACAAAUCCUGCCUAAGCCCUACAGUAAAGGAAAAGAUUGUACAGCAAAUGCUGAUUCCAAUCAUUGAUUAUGGGGAUGUUGUAUAUGCACCUACACCACAAACUCGCCUAAAUAAGCUUAAUACAUUGUAUAACUCGUUCUGCUGUUUUGUGCUACAAUUACAUGACCCACCAUCGUGACAUGUUAAAAGAACUAAACUGGCUGUCACUUGAAAUUCAGAAGCACCCUUCAUCUUUUCAGCCUUGUGUUUAAGAGCUUUUCUGGGAAGCGCCCACCCAACCUGAGCAGAAUGCUCUCCCCGGCUAUUCCCACCUCUUACAACCUACGAUCCAGUACCAGCACUUUAUUUAGUCUACCUCAAUACAAAAAGAAAGCGGCUCGAUCCUCCUUUUCCUACAGAGCACCGCAUUUAUGGAGCGACUUCCUUCACACUUUCAAAUCUUCCCCAAGCCUAAAAUCCUUUAAGAGAUCCAUCUCUACAUAUCUCAAAACAGAAUGCACCUGUCAUGGUUGAUUAUAUGUUUCUUACCUGUUCUAUGUUAAAUUUUGUAUAUAUUGUGUAUUAAUAUUGUGUUUGUAUUUUAUUGAACCCUAUUUAGUGAUGCCACGAACGGUUCGCCACGAACGGUUCGCCACGGACUCAUCAUUGAGUAAACUUUGACCCUGUACCUCACAGUCAGCAGACACAUUCCAGCCAAUCAGCGGCAGACCCUCCCUCCCAGACCCUCCCACCUCCUGGACAGCAUCCAUUUUACAUUCAUUGUGAAGCUGCAUUCUUAGUGAGCUGUCCAGGAGGUGGGAGGGUCUGGGAGGGAGGGUCUGCGGCUGAUUGGCUGGAAUGUGUCUGCUGACUGUGAGGUACAGGGUCAAAGUUUACUCAAUGAUAAGUCCGUGGCGAACCGUUCGUGGCGAAUCGUUCGGCGAACCGUUCGGGACAUCACUAACCCUAUUGUAUUAAUAUUUUGUGAACCCGGGACAUAGUUGAAAAUGAAAAAAAUCUCAAUGUAUCCUUCCUGGUAAAAUAUUUUAUAAAUAAAAUAAAUAAUAAUAAAUAUGUCCACAAGAUAUAUGUUGAGCUACUAUCCUUUGUAGUUGGGGUUCUAUUGUUUGGAUUGAGAGGGAUCCCUAUUGUAUCCUCCUGAGACCCAGCCCAUUAACUUAUGUCCUCUGUAUGACAUUUUGUUCACAUGCAUCUCCUUUUAUUCAUUUGAGCUACUCUGUCAAUCCCUACUGUAUUGUAAAGAGGACAUCCUGGGCUUUCCGGUUAUAUGUCAUGUGAUAGGCAGGGAUGCUGGGAACUUCCUCUUCCUUUUCAUAUAAAAUGGAUGGCAUAUUGGAAGACAAUUUUUCCUCGGUACCCAGGAGGGUAUAGUAGCUGUUGUUGAUGUUAGAAGAUGACAAGUGCUUGAUUUCUUUUUUGUUUAUUUUAAUUAGAACAUUUUUAGUUUAUUAAAAACAUUUUAUGAUGGUAGGAUGAACUAAUAAUGCAUUUUACAAUAUAUUAGUUCCAAAAUUAUAAUACUUCUAUAUUUCCCUUUGAAGACAUAUAACUUUUAGUUAGUUUAGUUACAGAAAUACAGUGUGCUAUAUUAGAAAUAUUAUGGUAUACACUUACGCUGUCCAAGUGUAAAUCAAAGUGCUUUUAAAGAGACACUCUCGGCACCAUAGCAAAAUUAAGUUGUUAUGGUACCAGGAGGUCCCCGGGCACUCUCUUCCAUGAAGGUGUUUGUCUGUUCUCAAAAGGAUUCCUCCAGUGCUUAAUCUAUCUCCAAUUCCUCUAGUGACAUCUGGCUUUGCAAUUGACUUUCAGGAAGCAUGGAGUGCCGCCUGGCAGGGGUGCUGCUGAUUGGCUAGAGCAGUCAGCUGACGUUCCAAACCAAUCCGUUGCUCCCGAUUAAUAAAAAAGGUAUGUUGUGGAAGACAACCUUUGAGGUUAAACUGCUUCAGAAUGGUUUAACCUCUUCAAGUAAGAAAGCACCUUGGACCACCUGCUGCCAAGAGUGUUCCAUAAAAAUGCGAGUGUGCGCAGCAGCCAGCGUAAUUGAUCCUGCACGAGACUUCAGGUGCUGGACCUAUUGGUUGCACUCCUUGCAACCAAUAAGAUAUUUGUAAAACUCCUUACACUAUGUCCUUUCCCUUUAAUGGAGACUUCUCCCAAUCUACUAUUGCCUGGUGGCAAACGCUUAGACUCAUUACCAAGCUCUUGAGAGUUAACAUCAUUGUCUACAGUUGGGGACCGGCACGCAUACUGAAUGCCCACCAAGGCGACAAACAACUCCUGGUCUCGCAUAUUUUGUGGCAAAUACCUUUCUUGCAGCUUUGGGACUUUCGUGGCCCACUGUAGCCUCUUCACUGAGUGACCAAAGUCUCAGCAAGUCAUGCUGGAAUGCGGAUAUUAUCCUGCAGUUCUACCCUGCAUGAAAAUUUCUGAACAUUAACCAGCUAUGCCAAUUACCUGAGUUGGACGGACUUAAUAGUUUAUUUAAAGCCACUUGUCUUACUAACAGUUGGUUUUUACUAGUUGGUUAAAAUGAUUUUUCUUUUAUUUCAUAUUAUUGUUUAUGUCUAUACGGACAAGCAUUAUAACUGUAGGAUAUGUGUCAUCCUUCCCAUAUUGCUUCUCCUUUCCAAGUAACCAGAUUACACUACGCAGCAUGUACCUAGGUCUUUAAGUGUGAUUUACUGCUAUACACAGUAAGCUACUUGUUUUCUAAAUAAAGUGUUGCUGCUAGCUUGUUUUUACUAGCAUUUAUGUUAAAGAGCCAGUGUGUUUAAAAUGUAGUAUGUUUUACAUGUGUCUCUCACAGCAUAUUUUGUAAUGCCAUGAUACUACAAUGAAAAAUACAUAUUAAAAAGAAAUUGUGACAAAUAAUGAAUUUUGUAUUUUUAUAUUAUCAAAAUAGCAUCAUGCAUGAAUAGUGAUGUCCCGAACGGUUCGCCGAAUGGUUCGCCACGGACGGCGAACAUAUGCGCUGUUCGGUCCGCCCCCUAUGUCAUCAUUGAGUAAACUUUGACCCUGUACCUCACAGUCAACAGACACAUUCUAGCCAAUCAGCAGCAGACCCUCCCUCCCACACCCUCCCACCUCCUGGACAGCAUCCAUUUUACAUUCAUUGUGAAGCUGGAUUCUUAGUGAGCUGUCCAGGAGGUGGGAGGGUCUGGGAGGGAGGGUCUGAUGCUGAUUAGCUGGAAUGUGUCUUCUGACUGUGAGGUACAGGGUCAAAGUUUACUCAAUGAUGACAAAUAGGGGGCGGACCGAACAGCGCAUAUGUUCGCCAUCCGUGGCGAACCGUUCGGCGAACCGUUUGGGACAUCACUAUGCAUGAAUAAUAUGCAAUUGUAAAAAUAUAUAAGAACUAUUGUAAUAGAAGACUAAUAUUAAAAAAAAUAAAGUAUAUUUUUCUUUUCUUUACAGGAUUGCAUAUGAAUACUCAAGGAGAAACCCGCGUGAUACUAUAAAGUCUAUCUUUACCUUUGCUACUAAACUGAACAAAUCUAUUGUCUCUUGCUGUACUACAAGUGAUACAAAACUGUGCCUUUCAGACUUUUAUGAACAUUUUCCUGCCUGAACAUUUUGUUACUUUUCAUUUAUCAAUAAAAAAAAUUCUCA
Non-coding RNA from Pelobates cultripes (western spadefoot toad), 9614 nucleotides. The record is from the annotation of a GenBank genome assembly. Lineage: Eukaryota; Metazoa; Chordata; Amphibia; Anura; Pelobatidae.